This 72-nucleotide transfer RNA is filed under the name Methanonatronarchaeia archaeon. Its description in RNAcentral is "tRNA-Ala". It matches the Rfam family "tRNA". From Rfam's summary of the family: Transfer RNA (tRNA) molecules are approximately 80 nucleotides in length. Their secondary structure includes four short double-helical elements and three loops (D, anti-codon, and T loops). The record is from RNAcentral. Lineage: Archaea; Methanobacteriati; Methanobacteriota; Methanonatronarchaeia.
GGGCCCGUGGAUCAACGGUAGAUCGCCACCUUCGCAAGGUGGAGGCUCUGGGUUCAAAUCCCAGCGGGUCCA